Molecule: unclassified non-coding RNA, 146 nt
Filed under: soil metagenome
Description: partial internal transcribed spacer 1
Source: RNAcentral
CCGAGUUUACAACUCCCAAACCCCUGUGAACAUACCUAUAUGUUGCCUCGGCGGAUCAGCCCGCGCCCCGUAAAACGGGACGGCCCGCCGCAGGAUCCACAAACUCUGUUUUAUUGUAACUUCUGAGUAACAAAACAAAUAAAUCG